This 785-nucleotide ribosomal RNA is filed under the name uncultured Virgibacillus sp. RNAcentral's name for it is "bacterial SSU rRNA". It matches the Rfam family "Bacterial small subunit ribosomal RNA", at positions 744 to 1533 of the family's 1533-position model. The record is from RNAcentral. Lineage: Bacteria; Bacillati; Bacillota; Bacilli; Caryophanales; Bacillaceae.
UACGUGAGUACGAAAGCGUGGGGGCAACAGGAUAGAUACCUGGUAUCCACGCGUAAAGAUGAGUGCUAGGGUCAGGGGUUUCCGCCCUUGUGCUGGAGUAACGCAUUAAGCACUCCGCCUGGGGAGUACGGCCGCAAGGCUGAAACUCAAAAGAAUUGACGGGGGCCCGCACAAGCGGUGGAGCAUGUGGUUUAAUUCGACGCUACGCGAAGAACCUUACCAGGUCUUGACAUCCUCUGCUACUCCUAGAGAUAGGACGCUCCCCUCGGGGACAGAGUGACAGGUGGUGCAUGGUUGUCGUCAGCUCGUGUCGUGAGAUGUUGGGUUAAGUCCCGUAACGAGCGGAACCCUUGAUCUUAGUUGCCAGCAUUCAGUUGGGCACUCUAAGGUGACUGCCGGUGAUAAACCGGAGGAAGGUGGGGACGACGUCAAAUCAUCAUGCCCCUUAUGACCUGGGCUACACACGUGCUACAAUGGAUGGAACAACGGGAAGCGAAACCGCGAGGUGAAGCCAAUCCCAUAAAACCAUUCCCAGUUCGGAUUGUAGGCUGCAACUCGCCUACAUGAAGCAGGAAUCGCUAGUAAUCGCGGAUCAGCAUGCCGCGGUGAAUACGUUCCCGGGCCUUGUACACACCGCCCGUCACACCACGAGAGUUGAUAACACCCGAAGUCGGUGGGGUAACCUUUAUGGAACUAGCCGCCGAAGGUGGGAUCAAUGAUUGGGGUGAAGUCGUAACAAGUAACCGUAAACCAUGGCGGCCGGAGCAUGCGACGUCGGCCCAUCG